Molecule: non-coding RNA, 80 nt
Organism: Podarcis lilfordi (Lilford's wall lizard)
Lineage: Eukaryota; Metazoa; Chordata; Lepidosauria; Squamata; Lacertidae
Source: the annotation of a GenBank genome assembly
GCCUUGAUAGCUCAGUUAGUAGAGCAUUAGACUAUCAGGGUUUGAGCUGCACGUUAUGGGUCUGAGCCCCACUUUGGGCA